Molecule: long non-coding RNA, 284 nt
Filed under: Elaeis guineensis (African oil palm)
Lineage: Eukaryota; Viridiplantae; Streptophyta; Magnoliopsida; Arecales; Arecaceae
Description: long non-coding RNA (EGUI_LNC021042)
Source: RNAcentral
AUUAAACUGUCAGUGCAAACUUGGUAGUUUGAUAUCUAAUAAACAACCUAUUUGUCAUGUUUGUUACCGCAAAAGGAAGGGAGGCGUUGUUCUUGGCAAGUUCCAUGCCGCAUGGGAAGUGGCAUGGAGCCUUUUUAGGUACGUAGUUGGUCCCUUAGUGUGAUUCUAAAACAAAUUAGAAUAAAAAAACAUAUGAGAUGGGCACUAAAAAAAAAAAUGGAAUGGAAUUUCUAUUUUAUUAUAUUUUCUCUCAUGCCAAUCUUAAUUUAUAAGUCUAAAACUCU